AGCAGCCGCGGUAAUUCCAGCUCCAAUAGCGUAUAUUAAAGUUGUUGCAGUUAAAAAGCUCGUAGUUGAAUUUCGGGAUUGACACAUCGGUCGUGCCUUAAGGGGUAUGAACUGGUGUAGUCAAUUUCUCACCUUCUGGAGAACCGCGAUGCCCUUAAUUGGGUGUCGCGGGGAACCAGGACCUUUACUUUGAAAAAUUAGAGUGUUUAAAGCAGGCAUUUUGCUUGAAUACAUUAGCAUGGAAUAAUAAAAUAGGACGGCAUGAUUCUAUUUUGUUGGUUUCUAGGAUCACCGUAAUGAUUAAUAGGGAUAGUUGGGGGCAUUAGUAUUCAAUUGUCAGAGGUGAAAUUCUUGGAUUUAUUGAAGACUAACUACUGCGAAAGCAUUUGCCAAGGAUGUUUUCAUUAAUCAAGAACGAAAGUUAGGGGAUCGAAGACGAUCAGAUACCGUCGUAGUCUUAACCAUAAACUAUGCCGACUAGGAAUCAGACGAUGUUAAUUUUUUAAUGACUACGUUUGGC
This 520-nucleotide unclassified non-coding RNA is filed under the name uncultured Entrophospora. Its description in RNAcentral is "SSU rRNA". It matches the Rfam family "Eukaryotic small subunit ribosomal RNA", at positions 569 to 1084 of the family's 1831-position model. Lineage: Eukaryota; Fungi; Glomeromycota; Glomeromycetes; Entrophosporales; Entrophosporaceae. The record is from RNAcentral.